AGCGUCAAGUGCAAUGGUUUAGAGCACGCACUCCUGGAUGGAGUGAGUAGCGGGUUCGAGUCCCGUUUGACGUAA
Non-coding RNA from Parelaphostrongylus tenuis, 75 nucleotides. NCBI's taxonomy places the organism in Eukaryota, Metazoa, Nematoda, Chromadorea, Rhabditida, Metastrongylidae. The record is from the annotation of a GenBank genome assembly.